This 64-nucleotide transfer RNA is filed under the name Lissachatina fulica (giant African snail). RNAcentral's name for it is "tRNA-Gln". Lineage: Eukaryota; Metazoa; Mollusca; Gastropoda; Stylommatophora; Achatinidae. The record is from RNAcentral.
UUUUCUUUAGUGUGGUCACGCACAGGAGGUUUUGAUCCUCCAAGGGGAUAAAAUCUAAGAAAAA